Long non-coding RNA from Sebastes umbrosus (honeycomb rockfish), 928 nucleotides. RefSeq lists it as uncharacterized. The transcript has 4 exons. The record is from RefSeq and is a predicted model, not a curated record. Lineage: Eukaryota; Metazoa; Chordata; Actinopteri; Perciformes; Sebastidae.
CACCGCGAGGACGGGCAGCGAUUUCCGGCCCCCGGGAUGGAGCUACAGGUGUUAGCCAACGCUAGAAGGCAGCAUUGGAUACAGCACGACCACCUAAACAUGGAGACCCAGUAACGGGGGGUGAAGUCAAGAUGAACCUGUCAAGUGUGACUGUGGACUUCUCAGCAGAGAGGGAGGAAUGGCUUGUCCUCUGUUAAACUCAUGGAGGCCAGGUGGAGAGCAGGACAGAGAGGAGAGGAGCUUGGCCAGACACCGACAAGGAGACAGAGAGGAGGGACGGACACACACACAGAGAGAGAGAGAGAGAGAGAGAGAGAGAGAGAGAAGGAGAAAGGGAUCAGCAUAAUACUGGCAAGCUCCGAGUGUCAGUGAUGACUCAAAACAUCACUCCCCACCCCAUUUCCUCUAUCCCUCGCUACUUUCCCACUAUACUUAUCCCCUACACUUUGAUUUGUUUCUACACUUUGGAUUAUUCGUCUUCUUUAGACGUGUGAAUCAUGAAAUAGAAUCACGCAUGUAAGGUGGGUUGUCCAAAAUCACUUUCUCAUGGUUUACUCAUACAUGGCUGCAACUAUGAGCAACAGUUUGUGUAUGUUUAUGUUCAUACUGUUCUGUAUGUAUACAGAAUCACUGCAUCGGGAUGCACCGAUACCGGAUUGGAUAUCGGGCUGAAAGUGACUCAAAUAGCUGGAUUGGAUAUCGGUGACAAUGGGGCUGAGCUAUUAAAUUCAAUUCUAUGUUUAUAUACCAUUUACAUUAUAUAGUGGAAUUUUAAUUCCUGUUUAAGUUUUGACCAAUUUGUUGCUGCGUUGUUGGUGGUUUACACCUGAAUUGUAUUUCUUGUUAAUUUUGAAAAAAUUUUGUCAAGUGUUUGGUGUACGAUUCAUUAUUUUAAUAGUAAAUAAAAAUUCCCAAAACUAAUAUUACA